UGACAUCCAGAAAAAUAAACAGAGAUGGAUUGGUGCCUUCGGGAACUCUGAGACAGGUGCUGCAUGGCUGUCGUCAGCUCGUGUUGUGAAAAGUUGGGUUAAGUCCCGCAACGAGCGCAACCCUUAUCCUUGGUUAAAAAGCAAAUCGGCCGGGAACUCAAAGGAGACUGCCUUUUAUGAAGGGGAGGAAGGUGGGGAUGACGUCAAGUCAUCAUGACCGUCGAGUAGGGCUACACA
This 237-nucleotide ribosomal RNA is filed under the name Serratia sp. TU10. Its description in RNAcentral is "partial 16S ribosomal RNA". It matches the Rfam family "Bacterial small subunit ribosomal RNA", at positions 982 to 1220 of the family's 1533-position model. Lineage: Bacteria; Pseudomonadati; Pseudomonadota; Gammaproteobacteria; Enterobacterales; Yersiniaceae. The record is from RNAcentral.